ACAGGAAGAGAAGACUUAAACGUAGUAAUAAUUGCAGAAAGCAUAUGCAAAAGAUAGAAACUUUCUUGAACUUCUUCUCCAUUGACUACUACUUUUUUUUUACAGCACAACAAAGAACAGCUUUUCUUUGUGUUUUUUCUUCAAGAUUUGCUUUGUAAAGCUUAUAUUUUUGCUUAAUUCAAAGUAAAGUUUUAAUCUUUGGUUCAAACUCUGCUCUUUCUUUCACAGCCUAUAAAGAUUGGUGCUUGCUUAAAGCUUGGAGAUUGUUGUGUACUUCCAGUUGCUGAAUCUAAGAACAUUGUGCGAAAGAGUAUUCAAAUCUCACCUCCCUGUGGGCCAAUGGAACAGGAUAGGCAACUAACCAAGGCAUCUUAGAAAACUAAUAGGAGCUCAACUUUUUUGCAAGUUGCUGUAAUUUCAAAGACAAGGACAGAAGUUGAUAUUUUAUGGCAGGAUGGAAGCGUGAGUUUUUAAGCUAAUUUUCUGUCAUUUUGAGAUUACGAAAUUUGGCAUUUGGUGAACUGAGCGGUGAUUUAUUACACUCCAAAUUUUGUGAAGCUCUCAAAUAUUAUCUUAUUGUACAUUUUUUGUCAACUUAGUUAUUAGUUGAGGGUAGAAUUCAUUA
This is a long non-coding RNA of Solanum pennellii, 625 nucleotides long. RefSeq lists it as uncharacterized. The transcript has 2 exons. The record is from RefSeq and is a predicted model, not a curated record. Lineage: Eukaryota; Viridiplantae; Streptophyta; Magnoliopsida; Solanales; Solanaceae.